GGAAUAACUUCCAGACUGUGGGCAGGAGGACAGAAGAGCUGAAGUACGUGAGAUCUAAACCUGGAAGAUGACUGAGAAUGUUUAUGAAACUACAGUACAAUGGCUGCUAUGUAGAUGCUGAUGAAGAAAAUAUGCAUUUAUUGUGAAAAUACUUACAGUUGGAAUGACUCCAUACUGGCCCACAAAAUGAAUAAAAUCACAGACUUUUGAGUAAUGUAAAAUAUCAGUGUUGCCCAUUCAUCACUUUUAGUACAGACAGUCACACUUAAUUGGCUCUGGCACUAAAAGAAAAGUCUGGUAUGGACCCAAAUCAGUCUACAUCAACAAGAAGGCUCUGAAAAUAAAGCCCAAGGUGAGACCCAUCUUUUCACAGGGUACACCAGACAUAUUAAUUUCCUCAUCUUUCCACAGUGCAGACCAUCAUCUUCCAGUUGCUUGCAGUUUAUUUUUUAUGAUUUUGUCACAUUUUACAUCUACAAGCUCUCUCACUGGGAGGUAGUGUGGAGGAAAUGGAUUCAAACAAACUCGUUUGAAGAAUAUAAGCCAAGCACAGCCAUGGGAUCAAACGUAGAAAUGGAGUGCAAGUUCAUCUACUGUUAGUCACCAUUUUUGAGGAAACAGUGUAAGAAUUCUGACAAAGCUGUAGUUCAGCAUUUUGGCAAGUGCAACGAAAAGAACUGUGUAUAUGUAAGAGACACUUCAGUCUCAUGAGAAGCAGUCCUUGCAGGAUUUCCUGGACAGGAUCAAGAACCACUGGAAAUAUUCAGAGAUUUUACUGGAAAUCGCUUGAGAACAGACUGUCUGACAGGCUCUGUUUUGAGUCAACUUUGGAUUGAAACUGAACUUUAGCGUGAGUAUGUGAACAGGUCUAUUAUCUCUAUUCACACUUCACAAUCAGUUAAACAGUUUCAUUAAAUACUGUGAUGCAGAAAAUCACAUUCUGGUCCUAAGAAAUAUGGGUCAUACAGCUAGUCCUUGCUCAGGCAAAUAGUUCCACUGAGUUUAAUUUUCAGGACAGCCCUUCUGUCAGUGCUAUGAAACAGUGAAGCAAAUAAAAGGUCUACACAUUUUUAGUAAAUCA
This 1081-nucleotide long non-coding RNA is filed under the name Anas platyrhynchos platyrhynchos (common mallard). RNAcentral's name for it is "lncRNA (ENSAPLG00000025325.1)". The record is from RNAcentral. Lineage: Eukaryota; Metazoa; Chordata; Aves; Anseriformes; Anatidae.